This 53-nucleotide non-coding RNA is filed under the name Heterostelium album PN500. RNAcentral's name for it is "Polysphondylium pallidum PN500 Class I RNA from Dictyostelium". It matches the Rfam family "Class I RNA from Dictyostelium". Lineage: Eukaryota; Evosea; Eumycetozoa; Acytosteliales; Acytosteliaceae. The record is from Rfam by way of RNAcentral.
GUUCUCAUUGCAGCAAUCCAACAAAUUUCCCUUGAAAAUUACCUUGAGAACUG